CUACGGGUGGCAGCAGUGGGGAAUAUUGGACAAUGGGCGAAAGCCUGAUCCAGCCAUGCCGCGUGUGUGAAGAAGGCCUUCGGGUUGUAAAGCACUUUCAGUGGGGAAGAAAGCCUUGGGGCUAAUACCCUCGAGGAAGGACAUCACCCACAGAAGAAGCACCGGCUAACUCCGUGCCAGCAGCCGCGGUAAUACGGAGGGUGCGAGCGUUAAUCGGAAUUACUGGGCGUAAAGCGCGCGUAGGCGGUCUGAUAAGCCGGUUGUGAAAGCCCCGGGCUCAACCUGGGAACGGCAUCCGGAACUGUCAGGCUAGAGUGCAGGAGAGGAAGGUAGAAUUCCCGGUGUAGCGGUGAAAUGCGUAGAGAUCGGGAGGAAUACCAGUGACGAAGGCGGCCUUCUGGACUGACACUGACGCUGAGGUGCGAAAGCGUGGGUAGCAAACAGGAUUAGAUACCCUGGUAGUC
RNAcentral lists this ribosomal RNA (464 nucleotides) under Vreelandella stevensii. RNAcentral describes it as "partial 16S ribosomal RNA". It matches the Rfam family "Bacterial small subunit ribosomal RNA", at positions 339 to 795 of the family's 1533-position model. Lineage: Bacteria; Pseudomonadati; Pseudomonadota; Gammaproteobacteria; Oceanospirillales; Halomonadaceae. The record is from RNAcentral.